Molecule: non-coding RNA, 376 nt
Organism: Procambarus clarkii (red swamp crayfish)
Lineage: Eukaryota; Metazoa; Arthropoda; Malacostraca; Decapoda; Cambaridae
Source: RefSeq, a predicted model, not a curated record
AAAUUAAAUAUUGAAUGGUAACUGUACUUCAACUUGGUUUAUUUAUUUGAAGCUUAAAUAGAUAUUGUCUUUCAGAAUAUUGAUGGGAAAGUCGAACUUCAGCCCUGAGUUUGAAGGUGUUAAUUGCUUGACAUUCUGAAUUAGGUGGUAUGGAAGAUUACAAUGUCAUCAAAGCAUUGACUGGCUUCAGUGUGGUUGUUCUACUCUGCAAAUCUACGAAAGUUGGUGGAUGUUGUCCUUGGUACUCUGGUUUUCCCUGGCCUUUUGUUGAUCUUUGAGUCUUCGGUGGAUUGCAUCUAGGCGGAGCAGCUUUCCACAACCUGAAAGACAAUAUUAAUGUUAGACUGUAAACUAUUAAAUAAAUAUUUCAAUGAAA